ACUGGGCGUAAGCGCACGCAGGCGGUCUGUUAAGUCAGAUGUGAAAUCCCCGGGCUUAACCUGGGAACUGCAUUUGAAACUGGCAGGCUUGAGUCUCGUAGAGGGGGGUAGAAUUCCAGGUGUAGCGGUGAAAUGCGUAGAGAUCUGGAGGAAUACCGGUGGCGAAGGCGGCCCCCUGGACGAAGACUGACGCUCAGGUGCGAAAGCGUGGGGAGCAAACAGGAUUAGAUACCCUGGUAGUCCACGCCGUAAACGAUGUCGACUUGGAGGUUGUGCCCUUGAGGCGUGGCUUCCGGAGCUAACGCGUUAAGUCGACCGCCUGGGGAGUACGGCCGCAAGGUUAAAACUCAAAUGAAUUGACGGGGGCCCGCACAAGCGGUGGAGCAUGUGGUUUAAUUCGAUGCAACGCGAAGAACCUUACCUGGCCUUGACAUCCAGAGAACUUAGCAGAGAUGCUUUGGUGCCUUCGGGAACUCUGAGACAGGUGCUGCAUGGCUGUCGUCAGCUCGUGUUGUGAAAUGUUGGGUUAAGUCCCGCAACGAGCGCAACCCUUAUCCUUUGUUGCCAGCGGUUCGGCCGGGAACUCAAAGGAGACUGCCGGUGAUAAACCGGAGGAAGGUGGGGAUGACGUCAAGUCAUCAU
Molecule: ribosomal RNA, 642 nt
Filed under: Pantoea dispersa
Lineage: Bacteria; Pseudomonadati; Pseudomonadota; Gammaproteobacteria; Enterobacterales; Erwiniaceae
Description: bacterial SSU rRNA
Rfam family: Bacterial small subunit ribosomal RNA
Source: RNAcentral